UUUUUUUUUUUUUUUUUUGUAUACAUCAUGUGUUUAAGUGUUGAGACUUGAGAGGAAGAUAAUUUGGGAUUAUCGAUCUCUCAAUUGUUUUAUUUUUAUUUUUAUUUUUUAUAUAUAUUAAGUAAUAAUUAUGCAUUGAGAUCUGUCGGGGUGAUUGAAGUUAUGGUUUUUUUAGAAAAAUACCUAUUUAGUACUAAUUUAAACCCAUUGCCUAUUUCAAUAAAUUUAAUAGACAUGAGCUCAUUCCAAUAUAAGGUGUUCUUAUUUGUGCUCAAAUACACAAAUCUAUAUUAAAAUCAUAAUAAAAUAAUAAUUUUUGUAUAUUUUUAAGACAAUUUUAUCCUCAUCACUUCAAUAUGUAUAAGGAGAGAGAAAGUGAAAGAGUGAUGAGAAGACUUUGCCGGAACCUCACCGGACUCCGGUCGCCGGUCGUCGGACUCCGGUCAUUGGUCACCGGUUGCCGGUAUUUUUUCGGUCAUCGGUAACUCGGUUACUAACCCCUGAUAAUUAGUUACUGAUCCCCAAUAAUCGGUUACUGACUCCCAAUAACUUGUUACUAACUCUUAAUAAUCAGUUACUGACACCCAAUAAUCGGUUACUGACUCCCAAUAACUUAUUACUAACCCCUAAUAAUCAGUUACUGACCCCAAUAACUUGGUUAUGAAUCCCUAAUAAUUAGUUACUGACUCCCAAUAAUCAGUUACUGACCCCUAAUAACUUGUUACUAACCCCUAAUAAUCAGUUACUGACCCCCAAUAACUUGAUUACGGAUCCCGAAUAAUCAGUUACUGACCACCAAUAAUCAACUUAUUUCAGCUUAAUGUAAUAGAAAAAAACAAUAUCAGAAAAUAAUCAAGUUAUUGACCCCAAUAAUCGGGUUACUAACCCCUAAUAAUUUGGUUACUGAACCUUAAUAAUAGUUACUGAUCAUAAUAAUCACCCCCAGUGAAUCAUUUUCAUAUAGAUUAGGCUCUAAACGUAAACAAUUUCAUCCAAAUAAAGGGCACUAAAUAUUGAAAAAUAUUUACCCUUAAUAAAAUGUUUAUUGAUCCCAUUAGAACUUUAUUACCCCAUUAAUCACUUUUAUUACCACCUAAUAACCAUUUUCUUCCAGAAAAAAAAAAAAUUUCAUCUGCAACAAUCAACGAUGGCGUCCAUGGUUUUCAACCGGAAAACAUACCAGAACCGAGGCUUCAUUCUCACACCAUUGGAAGCCGGAAUACACCAUUGGCAGCCAGAAUCGAGGAGAGAGAAAGUUAGGGUUUGUUUUCAGGGAGAGAGAGAGAGAGAGAGAGAGAGAGAGAGAGAGAGAGAGAGAGAGAGAUCUGAAAGAUGAGAGAGUAUGAGAAUGAGAGGAUGAGAAUGAGAGAGGACGAGAGAGAGUGAGCGUGAGAGAGUGUUUAUAAGUCUAAGGGCAUAAUUGUUUUUUUAUUAGGUUUUAUUGGAAUGGGCUAUUAAAAAUUUUUUUCAUUAAAUUGGGGUUUACUUUAAAGAAAUUUAUGUAUUAAGGCAUUUUCUCUAUGUUUUUUUGGAGUUACUUUGUUACUAACUUAGUAAGUUAGUAUAAGCCUAGCUGCCUAGCUACUAUGUACCCUUAUUCAUGCAGAUUAAUUUUGUUGAAAAUAUCUCUUAGGGAUAGAUGGAGUCUCACCAUCGAUUCAUGGUUCAAUACUUCGCUAUUCCUGAACUCCCUAGCUUGAAUGUUUUCAUACCGUAGUCAUUCAAUAAUAGUUAAAGUGACUAAUAUUAUUGGGUUCUGGACUUCUGGAGAUUCAUUCAUGUUCGAACUUGUUCUAGAUGGGUGAUAUAGCGUUGCUGAAGUUAGGAUUUUAAUCAGGUGAAGACGACAUAACAUAUCAAACAUGGAUCGAGCCGGAUCCCUGUCAGGAAAACUAUACCAUCAGGCACUGUAGUCAUGGAAUCAAAAUUUCAGUUGCAUGAGAAAAAAUACAAGUGCAUGAAGCGAAAGGGUUAAAGGGUACAGAUUGGAGUCCUCAUGUGAUUGGGUUAGCCUAGAAAUCGUAACAGAACAUAUCAUGCCUAUCAGUGUUGGCAUCUUUAAAUGAGCUAAUAAAAUUUCUAACAUUUUCAUCAUUUUCAUCCUCACAGGGAGCAAGCAUAGUCUUUACC
Molecule: long non-coding RNA, 2130 nt
Filed under: Fragaria vesca (wild strawberry)
Lineage: Eukaryota; Viridiplantae; Streptophyta; Magnoliopsida; Rosales; Rosaceae
Description: long non-coding RNA (FVES_LNC001898)
Source: RNAcentral